Petromyzon marinus (sea lamprey) is the source of this 495-nucleotide non-coding RNA. The record is from RefSeq and is a predicted model, not a curated record. Lineage: Eukaryota; Metazoa; Chordata; Hyperoartia; Petromyzontiformes; Petromyzontidae.
CAAAAAAAACAAUUGAAGCGGAGUUUGCCCGUCACCGGAUUUGAUAGCGCGGAUAAGCGGCUAUAGCAACCAAUGGGCGCCUAAUGCCAAUGCGCGCUGCGUUAUGUAAAGCGAGACGCAGGCAUGGCCAGUGAGAGCAUGGAGGCGGCUGCGUGUUAAAGAGAGGAGAGAGCGAGCGAGCAAGCGAGGUAGCGAGCUAGCGAAGAGGAACACGGACGAGAGGCAGGAGAGACACAACAAGAGCGGGACUACGCAAGCAGCCCCGUUGUUGGUGUCCGUGCGGGGCGGCACUCGAGGAAUACCCCCCCCGGUGCUGAGAGGAUCAGGAAGGGCCGUGGAGGACUGAAAGAUUGUGACGAAUCGCAGAACAUUGUGGAGGAUCAAGAAGGUUCGUGGUGGAUCGUGGAGAAGGUUCGUGGUGGAUCGUGGAGGAUAGUGGAGGCUCGUGAAGGAUUGUGAAGGUUUGUCGAGGAUUGUGAAGAACUGUGAAGGUUC